Molecule: ribosomal RNA, 2901 nt
Filed under: Escherichia coli
Lineage: Bacteria; Pseudomonadati; Pseudomonadota; Gammaproteobacteria; Enterobacterales; Enterobacteriaceae
Description: bacterial LSU rRNA
Rfam family: Bacterial large subunit ribosomal RNA
Source: RNAcentral
UUAAGCGACUAAGCGUACACGGUGGAUGCCCUGGCAGUCAGAGGCGAUGAAGGACGUGCUAAUCUGCGAUAAGCGUCGGUAAGGUGAUAUGAACCGUUAUAACCGGCGAUUUCCGAAUGGGGAAACCCAGUGUGUUUCGACACACUAUCAUUAACUGAAUCCAUAGGUUAAUGAGGCGAACCGGGGGAACUGAAACAUCUAAGUACCCCGAGGAAAAGAAAUCAACCGAGAUUCCCCCAGUAGCGGCGAGCGAACGGGGAGGAGCCCAGAGCCUGAAUCAGUGUGUGUGUUAGUGGAAGCGUCUGGAAAGGCGCGCGAUACAGGGUGACAGCCCCGUACACAAAAAUGCACAUGCUGUGAGCUCGAUGAGUAGGGCGGGACACGUGGUAUCCUGUCUGAAUAUGGGGGGACCAUCCUCCAAGGCUAAAUACUCCUGACUGACCGAUAGUGAACCAGUACCGUGAGGGAAAGGCGAAAAGAACCCCGGCGAGGGGAGUGAAAAAGAACCUGAAACCGUGUACGUACAAGCAGUGGGAGCCUCUUAAUGGGGUGACUGCGUACCUUUUGUAUAAUGGGUCAGCGACUUAUAUUCUGUAGCAAGGUUAACCGAAUAGGGGAGCCGAAGGGAAACCGAGUCUUAACUGGGCGUUAAGUUGCAGGGUAUAGACCCGAAACCCGGUGAUCUAGCCAUGGGCAGGUUGAAGGUUGGGUAACACUAACUGGAGGACCGAACCGACUAAUGUUGAAAAAUUAGCGGAUGACUUGUGGCUGGGGGUGAAAGGCCAAUCAAACCGGGAGAUAGCUGGUUCUCCCCGAAAGCUAUUUAGGUAGCGCCUCGUGAAUUCAUCUCCGGGGGUAGAGCACUGUUUCGGCAAGGGGGUCAUCCCGACUUACCAACCCGAUGCAAACUGCGAAUACCGGAGAAUGUUAUCACGGGAGACACACGGCGGGUGCUAACGUCCGUCGUGAAGAGGGAAACAACCCAGACCGCCAGCUAAGGUCCCAAAGUCAUGGUUAAGUGGGAAACGAUGUGGGAAGGCCCAGACAGCCAGGAUGUUGGCUUAGAAGCAGCCAUCAUUUAAAGAAAGCGUAAUAGCUCACUGGUCGAGUCGGCCUGCGCGGAAGAUGUAACGGGGCUAAACCAUGCACCGAAGCUGCGGCAGCGACACUAUGUGUUGUUGGGUAGGGGAGCGUUCUGUAAGCCUGUGAAGGUGUACUGUGAGGUAUGCUGGAGGUAUCAGAAGUGCGAAUGCUGACAUAAGUAACGAUAAAGCGGGUGAAAAGCCCGCUCGCCGGAAGACCAAGGGUUCCUGUCCAACGUUAAUCGGGGCAGGGUGAGUCGACCCCUAAGGCGAGGCCGAAAGGCGUAGUCGAUGGGAAACAGGUUAAUAUUCCUGUACUUGGUGUUACUGCGAAGGGGGGACGGAGAAGGCUAUGUUGGCCGGGCGACGGUUGUCCCGGUUUAAGCGUGUAGGCUGGUUUUCCAGGCAAAUCCGGAAAAUCAAGGCUGAGGCGUGAUGACGAGGCACUACGGUGCUGAAGCAACAAAUGCCCUGCUUCCAGGAAAAGCCUCUAAGCAUCAGGUAACAUCAAAUCGUACCCCAAACCGACACAGGUGGUCAGGUAGAGAAUACCAAGGCGCUUGAGAGAACUCGGGUGAAGGAACUAGGCAAAAUGGUGCCGUAACUUCGGGAGAAGGCACGCUGAUAUGUAGGUGAAGCGACUUGCUCGUGGAGCUGAAAUCAGUCGAAGAUACCAGCUGGCUGCAACUGUUUAUUAAAAACACAGCACUGUGCAAACACGAAAGUGGACGUAUACGGUGUGACGCCUGCCCGGUGCCGGAAGGUUAAUUGAUGGGGUUAGCGGUAACGCGAAGCUCUUGAUCGAAGCCCCGGUAAACGGCGGCCGUAACUAUAACGGUCCUAAGGUAGCGAAAUUCCUUGUCGGGUAAGUUCCGACCUGCACGAAUGGCGUAAUGAUGGCCAGGCUGUCUCCACCCGAGACUCAGUGAAAUUGAACUCGCUGUGAAGAUGCAGUGUACCCGCGGCAAGACGGAAAGACCCCGUGAACCUUUACUAUAGCUUGACACUGAACAUUGAGCCUUGAUGUGUAGGAUAGGUGGGAGGCUUUGAAGUGUGGACGCCAGUCUGCAUGGAGCCGGCCUUGAAAUACCACCCUUUAAUGUUUGAUGUUCUAACGUUGGCCCCUGAUCGGGGUUGCGGACAGUGUCUGGUGGGUAGUUUGACUGGGGCGGUCUCCUCCUAAAGAGUAACGGAGGAGCACGAAGGUUGGCUAAUCCUGGUCGGACAUCAGGAGGUUAGUGCAAUGGCAUAAGCCAGCUUGACUGCGAGCGUGACGGCGCGAGCAGGUGCGAAAGCAGGUCAUAGUGAUCCGGUGGUUCUGAAUGGAAGGGCCAUCGCUCAACGGAUAAAAGGUACUCCGGGGAUAACAGGCUGAUACCGCCCAAGAGUUCAUAUCGACGGCGGUGUUUGGCACCUCGAUGUCGGCUCAUCACAUCCUGGGGCUGAAGUAGGUCCCAAGGGUAUGGCUGUUCGCCAUUUAAAGUGGUACGCGAGCUGGGUUUAGAACGUCGUGAGACAGUUCGGUCCCUAUCUGCCGUGGGCGCUGGAGAACUGAGGGGGGCUGCUCCUAGUACGAGAGGACCGGAGUGGACGCAUCACUGGUGUUCGGGUUGUCAUGCCAAUGGCACUGCCCGGUAGCUAAAUGCGGAAGAGAUAAGUGCUGAAAGCAUCUAAGCACGAAACUUGCCCCGAGAUGAGUUCUCCCUGACUCCUUGAGAGUCCUGAAGGAACGUUGAAGACGACGACGUUGAUAGGCCGGGUGUGUAAGCGCAGCGAUGCGUUGAGCUAACCGGUACUAAUGAACCGUGAGGCUUAACCU